CAGCAGCCGCGGUAAUACGUAGGGUGCGAGCGUUAAUCGGAAUUACUGGGCGUAAAGCGUGCGCAGGCGGUUUUGUAAGACAGGCGUGAAAUCCCCGGGCUCAACCUGGGAAUGGCGCUUGUGACUGCAAAGCUAGAGUGCGGCAGAGGGGGAUGGAAUUCCGCGUGUAGCAGUGAAAUGCGUAGAUAUACGGAGGAACACCGAUGGCGAAGGCAAUCCCCUGGGCCUGCACUGACGCUCAUGCACGAAAGCGUAGGGAGCGAACAGGAUUAGAUACCCGCGUAGUCCCUGUCUCUUAUAA
Molecule: ribosomal RNA, 301 nt
Filed under: uncultured bacterium
Lineage: Bacteria
Description: partial 16S ribosomal RNA
Rfam family: Bacterial small subunit ribosomal RNA
Source: RNAcentral